GAAAGCGGGAUAAUCUGGAGCCAGGGAGGCGGAGGACCAGAGAGGACCAAGAGAAAACAAAUAGGAUUUCCUCCCCCCUUCGCCCUCCGAAGCAGAAAAUGGAGAAGGCAGUCAGAAUUCUGGGGGGCCAUGUUCAAUGGGAAUAUUGAAGAAACCAUUUAAAUACAUGGAGUGUGGAAAGAG
Lacerta agilis (Sand lizard) is the source of this 183-nucleotide long non-coding RNA. RefSeq lists it as uncharacterized. The transcript has 2 exons. The record is from RefSeq and is a predicted model, not a curated record. Lineage: Eukaryota; Metazoa; Chordata; Lepidosauria; Squamata; Lacertidae.